UACAAUGGCAGGUCUCGUUAUGCCUC
RNAcentral lists this non-coding RNA (26 nucleotides) under Mus musculus (house mouse). Lineage: Eukaryota; Metazoa; Chordata; Mammalia; Rodentia; Muridae. The record is from RNAcentral.